CCUACGGGACGCACCAGUGGGGAAUAUUGCACAAUGGGCGCAAGCCUGAUGCAGCCAUGCCGCGUGUAUGAAGAAGGCCUUCGGGUUGUAAAGUACUUUCAGCGGGGAGGAAGGUGUUGUGGUUAAUAACCACAGCAAUUGACGUUACCCGCAGAAGAAGCACCGGCUAACUCCGUGCCAGCAGCCGCGGUAAUACGGAGGGUGCAAGCGUUAAUCGGAAUUACUGGGCGUAAAGCGCACGCAGGCGGUCUGUCAAGUCGGAUGUGAAAUCCCCGGGCUCAACCCGGGAAUUGCAUCUGAUACUGGUCAGCUAGAGUCUUGUAGAGGGGGGUAGAAUUCCAUGUGUAGCGGUGAAAUGCGUAGAGAUGUGGAGGAAUACCGGUGGCGAAGGCGGCCCCCUGGACAAAGACUGACGCUCAGGUGCGAAAGCGUGGGGAGCAAACAGGAUUAGAUACCCCGGUAGUC
RNAcentral lists this ribosomal RNA (465 nucleotides) under uncultured bacterium. Its description in RNAcentral is "bacterial SSU rRNA". It matches the Rfam family "Bacterial small subunit ribosomal RNA", at positions 338 to 795 of the family's 1533-position model. The record is from RNAcentral.